Molecule: long non-coding RNA, 914 nt
Filed under: Vulpes vulpes (red fox)
Lineage: Eukaryota; Metazoa; Chordata; Mammalia; Carnivora; Canidae
Description: lncRNA (ENSVVUG00000015864.1)
Source: RNAcentral
UACAAUAUAUUUGCUUAUCUUCCUCCUACUUUUCAGAUAUUGGCUCUGUUGUAAAUUCAUUUCCCUCUUGCUCUUUCAGGGCAACUAAUUCUGGUCCUGCUCAGGUUUACAUCAUUUAUUGACACAUCUAAUACUUGUCCUACAGAACUUACCCCAGGUGCCACAUGGAGUGCUCCAAUAAGAGAUGAAAUGAUUUUAGGAGUCCAGUAUCUUGGAACAGAGGCCCAAAGGGACUACACCUUCAGGCAUCGCCAAGAACUGCAGGUACCAAGGUCUGGAAGAGUGGGCAAGGCUGCCCAGGGUUCUUCAAGACUUCCUUUCUGCAAUAUACAAUGUGAAUAUUAAGGUAAGUCCAAUAAUAAUCAUAUUUUGAACUUUUAUUUUGUUUCAGCUAUUCUGCAGUUCUUUAAUCCUCUCAGUAUUUCUAAAUUAAAACAAAACCCUGCAAAGUUCAUGCCUUAUUUUCUGGCAGGUGAAAGAAUUAAGGGUCAGAGGGAACUUGCUCAAGGUCACAUAGCUUGAAGGUGAUGUUGCCAGGAUUAUAGAAUCCUGUAUACAGGAUUGAUCUGUANUUAAUCCUCUCAGUAUUUCUAAAUUAAAACAAAACCCUGCAAAGUUCAUGCCUUAUUUUCUGGCAGGUGAAAGAAUUAAGGGUCAGAGGGAACUUGCUCAAGGUCACAUAGCUUGAAGGUGAUGUUGCCAGGAUUCUAUAUUUGAUCUGUAUAAUUAUGUUACUCUGAUUUUCUCUCCCAAAGGGUAGCAUGAGAGCUUGUGAAAACAACAUUAGGUGGACAAGCUGUUUCAAACAUUAAUUAAAAGCCAAGGGUUCUAAAAUUUGAAACUAAGGUUUGUAACCAGGGAGGCCAAAUGGAGGAAAAAGAAAUGGGAUAGAUGCGUAGCCAGAAGGUAGAGGC